GGAAGUUCCCAGGCUAGGGGUCAUAUUGGAGCUGCAGGUGCCGGCUUAUGCCACAGCCAUAGCAAUGACAGAUCCAAGCCACAUCUGCAGCCUAUACCACAGCUUGCAACAAUGCCGGAUCCUUAACCCACUGAGCAAGGCCAGGGAUUGAACCCACAUCCUCACGGAUACUAGUCGGGCUCUUGAUCCACUGAACCACAAGGGGAACUCCUCUCCAGAAUUCUUAGGUUGAAGUCCUAACCUCCUUCGGACCCCCAAGCGACUCAAAAUGUGACUAUAUUUGGAAAUACAAUCUUUAACGAGAUAAUUGAAAUGGGGUCAUGAGGGUGGGCCCUAAUUCAAUAUGACUGUGUAAGAGGUGGAAUUUUUAAGAGGAGGAAGUCAGGACAUAGACAUGUAGAGAAGGAGAACCACGUGAAGCCACAGGGAGAAAAAGGCCACCUAUGUGCCAAGGGAAGAGGCCUCAGAAGAACCAACCCUACGGUGCCUUGAUCUCAAACUUCCAACCUCCAGAAGUGUGAGAAAAUGAGUUUCUGUUGUUUGGCAAUCUGAAGCAUUUAGUUAAGAUGGCCCUAGUAAGCUAGUACAUGUAAAACAGAACGAAAUCUAGGCCUGGUGAAUAGGGGUCUGACUUGCUUUGCCAUGAAGAAGAGAUCUAGUGUCUCAUUCAGCCCCAGAUGUGAGUCAGUUCCCUGACCCAAACCUCCUUGAACAGAGAGCCAGACAUCCCCUGAGUAAGGUCUCCUCAAAGAUACUGCAAGUAUCUCCUCUACAUUUCCUGCUUGGGAUCUGCAACUGUUUACUAGGUACCUGCACAGGGAGAGGGAACUUCCCAGAACUUCUGAGGAUGACUGGACACUGGUUCUGAAACGGUGCUAAUUCUUGGGGUUUCUGGUUGCCACUGUGACCCACCAGAGGGGAAUAAAUGGAAACCUGGCUUCAGAAGUUCCCACUGUGUCUCGGCGGUAAUGAACCUGUCUACAAUCCAUCCCUGGCCUUGCUCAGUGGGUUAAGAAUCCAGCGUUGCCACGUGCUGCGGUGUAGGUUGCAGAUGUGGCUUGGAUAUGGUGUUGCUGUGGCUGUGGCGUAGGCCUGUAGCUGCAGCUCCAAUUUGACCCCAAGCCUGAGAAUUUCCAUAUGCCAUGGGUGCGGCCCUAAAAAGCAAGCAAGCAAACCAACCAACCAACAAAAGAAACCUGGCUUCGAUUCAUCUCACAAGGGGACCAACAGCUCUGUAAAAGUCUAAAGUUGUUGUCUCAGCUGCUGAGUACAUGACUGGAAUAGAUGUAUGCUGUGACUGACAGAAUCCACACUUGGACUCCACGGCACAUGGGGUUAGUGCUGUGAUGGCUGUGGAGGGCUAGAAGGCAGUCUCUGGGGUUUCCCUUUCCUACCAAAGCCACAAACCAAGGAAGUUCCCGUCAUGGCUCAGUGGUUGAUGAAUCCAACUAGGAACCAUCAGGUUGCGGGUUCGAUCCCUGGCCUUACUCAGUGGGUUAAGGAUCCGGCGUUGCCGUGAGCUGUAGUGUAGGUCACAGACGCGGCUCAGAUCCUGUGUUUCUGUGGUUCUGGCAUGGGCUGGCAGCUACAGCUCCAAUUAGACCCCUAGCCUGGGAACCUCCAUAUGCCGUGGGAGCAGCCCAAGAAAUGGCAAAAAGACAAAAAAAAAAAAAAGACAAAAAAAAAAAAACCCACAAACCAAAAGCAAUGAAGUUAGAAUGGCAGCAUCUUCCUAAACUGUCUUCCUUGCUGCAUCACAUAUAUGGUUAUACAUUAUUAUUAUUAUUUUUUUGCAAGUAAGCAAAGUCUGGGCAAACAGCUCCCAGGACAGCUGGGAGGGGGAAGAAGAGUCCCCCCCCUCUAUUGUCUUAUAGGGGUUUUUAUCCCUUAAAGAUGGGGCUUACCAAUGUGGGGUCCAGAAAGAUGUGGUUUUCUCCCAUUGGCCUUGCCCAGUAACCUGCAUCAGUGGUUUUACAUUAAUUAAGUUUUUUGGCUUUUUAUUCAAGGUAUGUUGGCAAUAGCUAGCUUCAUCAAUGAAUCAAUAAGUUAACCAACAUUGGCUGCAAAUGAACUAAAGGGAGGAAUAAACAUUACUCAGAAACCUUGGGUUUGGACUUUGGGUUCUUAGCGGAGAUGCUGGGACAUUUCCUCUGUAGCCAGGGGGGGAGUGGGGUGGGGUGGGGGGGUGGGGGGGGAAGAAUCUGUGUUGUCAGGCAAAAAGCUUGUCGUUAUUGGUUGAAAGUUUAUAGAAGAAGGAAGCCAAGAGGAAAACUUGAGCGGCUAUAACCUGUAUCCACCCACUCAAAUCUUGUGACACCCCCGCCUCCUUGUGUUUUGUUAACUUCCCCUAUUUUGUAAGUUCCCACUUCCUCAAGGUAAAUGCCAAACAUUUUGCACUCUCUGGAUCACCUACAACUAGGAUACCGCCAUGAGAUCUGGUUUGCCUUGCAGCAGCCUCAGAGGAAACAGCAUGGCCCUGUGGCCACGGGCCAGGCCAUCCAUCUCCUGCAGGCUCUGUCCUGAGAAUCAGAGAAAGUGGCUGAAAGGGCUCAGGUACCAAGGCUCGCCCCAUUCUGUAGCUGAGGCUGUGCUGUCUCUGUAGCUUCAGCAUUGGGCUGUCCGGCCUUCUCCUAGGUAGAUUCUAAGAGCUAUGUAAUAUCUUUAAUCAACUUUGCUGCUGAAGAGGCAGACUGAUUCUGGCUAGUCUCAAGCAGAAAUGAAAUUAAAUAAAGGAUAUUAGGCAACGGAUGUUCCUGACCACAAAAGGUUUUAAGCUGGAGACGAUCACACUUUUGUUUGCAAAAGGGCC
Molecule: long non-coding RNA, 2809 nt
Filed under: Sus scrofa (pig)
Lineage: Eukaryota; Metazoa; Chordata; Mammalia; Artiodactyla; Suidae
Description: lncRNA (ENSSSCG00060049419.1)
Source: RNAcentral